ACCCACCGACAGCAGAUUAACAACAUGCAACAUGUGGAUCAGACUCAGUUACCAGAGGAGAGGACGGUCAGAAAGUUUCCUUUGCCAAACAGGAUCCAAACUGCACAGCCGGCAACACUCAGACCCAGAGCCUGCAGACAGAGGUCAAAGGAAGAGGGAGUUGAAAACUGCAGAGAAGAACUUCAACAGCUGAAUCUUCACCUCCAGCUUCAUCUCUCGUCACAUCUGUUCAUCAGUCUCAUCAGUUCUGGUUCUGUUCAGUCAUCAGGAGGUUCUUCAGUCGGGUUCUCCAGUGAACGUUUCACCUCCAGUCAGACUUCAGUGUGUGUCUCUCGUCCAGGAUGAACGUGUUGCUCUCUCUCUCUCUCUGGUUUGUUCUGCUGAUGCCAACCUGCUGUGGAGACGCAGGAAACCAUGAAGAAGAAGAGUUGACCACAGGCGAUUACGACUUCCUCACAGCCACAGCCACCUACGACUACGACUACACCGCCACCUUCGAAUACUACUACGUGACUGAACGUGAUGAAGCCAGGAACCAGGCCGCAGGGAUUGGUCAGCUGACCCUGCUGCUCCUCCUGGGAUUGGCUGUCCAUCAGAUCUGGAACUGAUGGGGGGCGGAGCUGAGGACCACCUGCUGACAGGUCUGUGACCUCUGACCUCUGAUCAGCUGACCACCCUCAGGACCAACCCACCACCAGCUGAUCAAUAAUUGAUCACUGUCUGAUCAUCAUCAAUCACCUGCUGACAUCACGUCUGGCUGGUUAACAUCCACACCUCAACAUGAAACAUUCAGUCUGAAAGUCAGUGUGUGUCUCUCGUCCAGGAUGAACAUGUUGCUCUCUCUCUCUCUCUGGUUUGUUCUGCUGAUGCCCACCUGCUGUGGAGACACAGGAAACCAUGAAGAAGAAGAGUUGACCACAGGUGAUAACAACUUCCUCACAGCCACAGCCACCUACGACGACUACUGGUCAAUAUCUUACUACGACUACAAAGAUUGGUAUGAACCCAUGAACCGGGCCGCAGGGAUUGGUCAGCCCACCCUGCUGCUCCUCCUGGGAUUGGCUGUCCAUCAGAUCUGGAACUGAUGGGGGGCGGAGCUGAGGACCACCUGCUGACAGGUCUGUGACCUCUGACCUCUGAUCAGCUGACCACCCUCAGGACCAACCCACCACCAGCUGAUCAAUAACUGAUCACUGUCUGAUCAUCAUCAAUCACCUGCUGACAUCACAUCUGGCUGGUUAACAUCCACACCUCAACAUGAAACAUUCAGUCUGAAAGGUGAUUGAUUUCUGAUCAAUAACUCUGAUCAGCUCUGUGUUACCAUGACAACAUGUGAACCCCAAACAGAUUUUUAAUGUCUCCAUGUUUUAUAUGUUUGAUUCUGUAAUAAAUAAUUUCACUCAGA
This is a long non-coding RNA of Seriola aureovittata, 1405 nucleotides long. RefSeq lists it as uncharacterized. The transcript is spliced from 12 exons. NCBI's taxonomy places the organism in Eukaryota, Metazoa, Chordata, Actinopteri, Carangiformes, Carangidae. The record is from RefSeq and is a predicted model, not a curated record.